Molecule: ribosomal RNA, 2853 nt
Filed under: uncultured Verrucomicrobiota bacterium
Lineage: Bacteria; Pseudomonadati; Verrucomicrobiota
Description: bacterial LSU rRNA
Rfam family: Bacterial large subunit ribosomal RNA
Source: RNAcentral
UGAUUAAAAUUUAGCAGGCGUACAGGGAAUGCCUUGGCACUGGAGUGCGAUGAAGGACGCGAAAAGCUGCGAUAAGCCACGGAUAGCCGUAUUGGGCGAUCACCCGUGGAUUUCCGAAUGGGGUAACCUAUGGCGGCCAAGCCGCCAUUGUUCAAUGAAGCCACAGGAUGCAAGUCCUUGGGUGGAUUGAUCAGCAAAUACUAGGGGAAGUGAAACAUCUCAGUACCCUAUGGAAAAGAAAACGUAAUGUGAUUCCGUUAGUAGCGGCGAGCGAAUGCGGAACAGCCUAAACCGUUGAUUCUUCAACGGGGUUGUAGGACCUGCAUAAUUGUGGACUAGAUAGGCGAAGCAUAAGGAAUAAUGCUCCAUAGAAGGUGAGAGGCCUGUAGCCAACAUCAAAAUCCACAUGGCGGGUAAUCCUGAGUAAUGCGAUACACGUGAAAUCUCGCAUGAACACAGCGCCGACCACGGCGUAAGGCUAAAUACUAACCAGUGACCGAUAGUGAACAAGUACCGCGAGGGAAAGGUGAAAAGCACCGCUGUGAGCGGAGUGAAAUAGUACCUGAAACCGUACGCCAACAAGGUGUCAUAGCUGCUACGGCAGUAAUGGCGUGCCUUUUGCUUAAUGAGUCUGCGAGUUAGCUUGAAUGGCAAGCGGAUGGCCUUCUGGGCAGUACGCAUAGCUAAAGCGAGUCAAAAAAGGCGACAUUAGUCGUUCGAGCUAAACCCGAAGCGGUGGUGAUCUACCCUUGGCCAGGACAAAGCUGUGGUAAUACACAGUGGAAGACCGAACCGGUGAAUCUUGAGAAAUUCUCGGAUGAGCUGAGGGUAGGAGUGAAAGGCUAAUCAAACCCCGUAAUAGCUGGUUCUCCUCGAAAUGCAUUUAGGUGCAGCGUUGCAUUAGUACCGGGGGGGUAGAGCACUGAAUAAGUAAGGGGCCAAUUGCGGCUACCAAGCCUAAUCAAACUCCGAAUACCCUGGAUCGAUGUGCAGCAGUGAGACUAUGUGGGAUAAGCUGUGUGGUCGAAAGGGCAACAGCCCAGCCCAACAGCUAAGGUGCCAAAACCCGUUUAAGUGGAAAGGAAGUAAGGCGUCACUGACAGUGAGGAUGUUGGCUUAGAAGCAGCCACCAUUUAAAUAGUGCGUAAUAGCUGGCUCAUCGAGACGCCUUGCGCCGAAAAUGAUUGGCGAUUAAAACGGGUACCGAAGCUUUGGAUGCGCAUGCGGAAGCAUGUGCGUAGUAGAGGAGCAUUCUUCUGGCAAUGAAGCACGCGAUUAAUCAAGUGUGGAGCCGGUUGAAGAGAGGAUGCAGACAUAAGUAACGUAUAGGGCGGUUAAAUACUGCCCCGCCGAAUACCCAAGGUUUCCUGGGCUACGAUUUUCGUCCCAGGGUUAGCCGGAACCUAAACCAACCCUGUUAUCAGGAUGGUGAUGGAAAUUGGUUUAAUACUACCAAGCCAGAUCAUGGUUUGCAUGUGGAACCGCAUGGAACGUGUGUUGUAAGCCCAAUUGAAUGGGCAGGGCCGCUUGCGGCCCGCGCAACCCAUCAACGUGCCUAGAAAAAUCCACAUUCUUACACCAUGAAUGUCCGUACCGCAAACCAACACAGGUGGGUGGGCUGAAUAUGCUCAGGCGUAAGAGUGAACCCUUGUUAAGGAACUCUGCAAUCUAGUCCCGUAACUUCGGAAGAAGGGAUGCCUGUCGCAAGACAGGUCGCAGUGAACUGGGUCAACCGACUGUUUAUCAAAAACACAGCAUUGUGCCAAGACGCAAGUCUAUGUAUACGAUGUGACACGUGACCAAUGCGGAAAGAUUAAGGCAAGAGGUUAGCCGCAAGGCGAAGCUUUGAGCCCAAGUCCCCGUGAAUGUCGGCCGUAACUAUAACGGUCCUAAGGUAGCGAAAUUCCUUGUCGGGUAAGUUCCGACCUGCACGAAUCGUGUAACGAGUUGACCGCUGUCUCAACAAGGCGCUCAGUGAAUUUGUAUCGGCGGUGAAGAUGCCGCCUACCCGCAGAAGGACGGAAAGACCCUAUGCACCUUAACUGUAAGCUGUCACUGAAUUGCUGAAUUGCAUGCUCAGAAUAAGUGGUAGGCUUUGAUGCUUGUCUUUAGGGGCAAGUGGAGCCAACAAGUGAGAUACCACCCUUGCUAUUCCGCGAUUCUAACAUAAAGGCACGUGAUACGUGCAUUUGGACAAUGGCAGCCGGUCAGUUUUACUGGGGCGGUAUCCUCCCAAAAGAUAACGGAGGAGCGCGAUGGUGUGCUCAGCACGGUUGGUAAUCGUGUGUCGAGUGUAUAGGCAAAAGCACGCCUAACUGUGAGACCAACAAGUCGAACAGAUACGAAAGUAGGUCUAAGUGAUCCGGCGGUUAAAUGUGGAAUUGCCGUCGCUUAACGGAUAAAAGGUACGCUAGGGAUAACAGGCUGAUUUGACCCAAGAGUUCAUAUCGACGGUUAAGUUUGGCACCUCGAUGUCGGCUCGUCGCAUCCUGGGGCUGAAAAAGGUCCCAAGGGUCCGGCUGUUCGCCGGUUAAAGCGGCACGCGAGCUGGGUUCAGAACGUCGCGAGACAGUUCGGUCCUCUAUCCUCUGUGGGCGUUAAAGAAUUGAGGGAUUUGCUUUCUAGUACGAGAGGACCGAAAGCAACACACCAAUAGUGUAUCAGUUGUCGUUUCAAUGGCAUCGCUGAGUAGCCAAGUGUGGAAAAGAUAAGCGCUGAAAGCAUCUAAGCGCCAAGCUCCCCCCAAGACCAGUUCUUUUUUAAAUCGUGGUAGACUACCACGUCGAUAGGGCGGUUGUGCAAUGGGUGUAAGCCCUUGAGCAAAGCGCUACUAAUAUUUAAUCCUUUAAUCUU